UAUUGUUAUUUUGGCAGAUUAGUGCAUUAAAUUUAGAAUUUAAUUAUGUAAAUGUUUACAAAUAAUAC
RNAcentral lists this transfer RNA (68 nucleotides) under Ochthebius serpentinus. Its description in RNAcentral is "transfer RNA-Leu". The record is from RNAcentral. Lineage: Eukaryota; Metazoa; Arthropoda; Insecta; Coleoptera; Hydraenidae.